Molecule: ribosomal RNA, 810 nt
Filed under: uncultured bacterium
Lineage: Bacteria
Description: bacterial SSU rRNA
Rfam family: Bacterial small subunit ribosomal RNA
Source: RNAcentral
AGAGUUUGAUCAUGGCUCAGAAUCAACGCUGGCGGCGUGCCUAACACAUGCAAGUCGAACGCGAAAGUCCCGCAAGGGAUUAGUAGAGUGGCAAACGGGUGAGUAACACGUGGGUGACCUGCCUUCGAGUGGGGGAUAACGUCCCGAAAAGGGACGCUAAUACCGCAUAAUAUCCCGCCUUUUAAGAGGUGGAGAUCAAAGCCGGGGAUCGCAAGACCUGGCGCUCAAAGAGGGGCCCGCGUCCGAUUAGCUAGUUGGUGGGGUAAUGGCUCACCAAGGCAUCGAUCGGUAUCCGGCCUGAGAGGGCGGACGGACACACUGGGACUGAGACACGGCCCAGACUCCUACGGGAGGCAGCAGUGGGGAAUUGUUCGCAAUGGGCGCAAGCCUGACGACGCAACGCCGCGUGGAGGAUGAAGACCUUCGGGUCGUAAACUCCUUUCGAUCGAGACGAAUGGCCUCCGGGUUAAUAACCUGGAGGAGUGACGGUACCGAGAGAAGAAGCCCCGGCUAACUCCGUGCCAGCAGCCGCGGUAAUACGGGGGGGGCAAGCGUUGUUCGGAAUUACUGGGCGUAAAGGGCUCGUAGGUGGCCAACUAAGUCAGACGUGAAAUCCCUCGGCUUAACCGGGGAACUGCGUCUGAUACUGGAUGGCUUGAGUUCGGGAGAGGGAUGCGGAAUUCCAGGUGUAGCGGUGAAAUGCGUAGAUAUCUGGAGGAACACCGGUGGCGAAGGCGGCAUCCUGGACCGACACUGACACUGAGGAGCGAAAGCCAGGGGAGCAAACGGGAUUAGAUACCCUAGUAGUCC